RNAcentral lists this long non-coding RNA (1825 nucleotides) under Homo sapiens (human). Its description in RNAcentral is "non-protein coding HAGLR:45". Lineage: Eukaryota; Metazoa; Chordata; Mammalia; Primates; Hominidae. The record is from RNAcentral.
AGACCGCCCAGGAGGCGGCGGCUAUUGUUCCCCGCAGGGGCCCGGGGCGCCCUGAAACGGGGUCCACGUCAGCCCGCUCCCGAGCGUGUCCUCAGGUCUAAGGACGGGUGGGGCUUCCUUUGUGUGUUCUCUGGAAGGGGCUGGGAUGGCGUCGUUGCUGCCCCAAGGGGUAACCGAGGGGGAUUGAGGGAAGAUGGUACCAGCUCCCUAGAGCUCAGCUCACCAGACCUACUCUUCCGCUCGACCCUUGCAGAGGAGGUGGGGACGGAUAUGGUAUUUGUAGGGCAGCGCUGUGAACAAUGGAGCCAUCAAAAAGGCCUUCUCCCAGCCUCCUCACCAACCACGGACAUUCCUGGCCCAACAAGACCUCCUGGCCAGGUUUUGAGCCCUGCUUCCCAGAUCUGGGGACCCUUCACCUGCCUCUACUACUGCAAAUGAUUGGAUAUUCGUCUGACUUGGCUCUUCCCUAAUGUGUGGAACUAAUUUUGUUCACUCUGUUUCAUGCUGGACCUGGCCUGAAAAUGGGCCCUUAUAUUGUCUUUGCACUUUCCAACUUGCCAAGUUUCUGAAAGAAGGACCAAAGUAAUGCCAAGAACUCCCAGAUGAAGAGGACCUUCCUUAGACCUAUAACAGAUUCACUACUUGACUUCAGAGGGAAGUUUCAGCUAAUUCUCAGGAAAAGGUCAAAACAGGCCUGUGACUGUCCCUUGAAUACUGAAGGUAUAAACAAGCUUCUGGCUCCUCCAGGUCAAGCAGAGGAACACUUUUAUUAGAAUGAAGGGUUACUUCUUUGUUAUUCAAACACACACCCACACACAUCCUCUGUAGUCUCCCUAAUGAAAAACCUCAACAGAUGGAGAGCCUGAGCUCCCAAGUCCGCAGGCUGAGAAGAUGCACUUCACUCAAGGGCCAGUGGGCUGGUACAGACUAGGGAAGAGAAAAGGGACAAAGGCUGCUAGUAUAGGUAAUCACUAUCUUUUAAUACUCCUAACACAUAGAAAUUCGAAAAAUCUUGUUCAGCAAUGUUAGCAGCCUGUGAGCCUCGGAAACUAAUUUGGCUGAUGUGUCUCUGAUAGGGAGCUUGGGGCUGCACCAAGGGGAAACAUUCUCCUCCUGUAUUCUCUCCUCUCUCUCGUUUGAAAGCCUGUACAAAGAAAUGGUACAAAUGGAUGGUUAACUUAAUGAUUCCAUCAGAGGCAGAUUUUUCUCUGUCAGGUCCCUGGAUAAGGUGGAGGUCUGAAAGCCAGGAGACAGAAUAUGUACUUAAUCGCCCUUUCUGACCUGCUUACCAGUGACCAGGACUACUCUCCAGGCCUUUCUUCUGCCACUUCCCCAUUCUUCCUGGCUAGUUCAGUUGGGUCUCAGCACUUCAACUCCUGGCUGGAUCCUGAGUUUUUCUUGGUUGCAGGGAAAGCUCUCACUGUCUGCAUCUCCUUCCCCACCCCCACCUCCCGUUUUGCAGCUGGCCAUUCUGGCUGCCUCACAGCUAUCCUGCCUUAAUUCAUAUUUGAUUGCCUGGACAGAACCACCUAGAAUGUCCAGACGACUGCCACCCCUCAGCCAUGGGCCUGAGAUCCUGCCCUGACCCCUUUCUUCAGACCCCAGGAGGACCCACAAUCUCCCUGAUCCCCACCUUCCCCAAAGUAGUCUCUAGGAAAAAAGCAGAGCUGGCUAAGGCCUGAGACAGAGCCAUUUCUUCCCCUUGGGCAAACGAGGUAGACCCUCCCAGAGACCAAUGCCGGAGAGGCCCGGAUCCGAGCUCCCUUUAUAUGGCCUCCCCCAUCACGGAUCCCGUGGGAAAACCUGACACACAAUGGCGCGGCUG